Molecule: ribosomal RNA, 433 nt
Filed under: uncultured bacterium
Lineage: Bacteria
Description: partial 16S ribosomal RNA
Rfam family: Bacterial small subunit ribosomal RNA
Source: RNAcentral
AACGAACGCUGGCGGCAUGCCUAACACAUGCAAGUCGAACGAGACCUUCGGGUCUAGUGGCGCACGGGUGCAUAACGCGUGGGAACCUGCCCUUAGGUUCGGAAUAACUCCCCGAAAGGGGUGCUAAUACCGGAUAAUGUCUUCGGACCAAAGAUUUAUCGCCUUUGGAUGGGCCCGCGUUGGAUUAGCUAGUUGGUAGGGUAAAAGCCUACCAAGGCGACGAUCCAUAGCUGGUCUGAGAGGAUGAUCAGCCACACUGGGACUGAGACACGGCCCAGACUCCUACGGGAGGCAGCAGUGGGGAAUAUUGGACAAUGGGCGAAAGCCUGAUCCAGCAAUGCCGCGUGAGUGAUGAAGGCCUUAGGGUUGUAAAGCUCUUUUACCCGGGAUGAUAAUGACAGUGCCGGGAGAAUAAGCGCCGGCUAACUCCGUG